GGCGCUUUGGCCGAGUGGUUAAGGCGGCAGACUCGAAUUACCCAUUGGAAUCUGCUGGAGUUUCUCCUCACAUGUUCGAAUCAUGUAGGCGUCG
Molecule: transfer RNA, 94 nt
Filed under: Tulasnella calospora MUT 4182
Lineage: Eukaryota; Fungi; Basidiomycota; Agaricomycetes; Cantharellales; Tulasnellaceae
Rfam family: tRNA
About the family: Transfer RNA (tRNA) molecules are approximately 80 nucleotides in length.
Source: Rfam by way of RNAcentral